AACUUUUGACCCUGUGAACCCUUGCCAUCCUCUCGUAGGAUGUGUCUCGGUGUGCACGGGUCAUCGUUCUGAAGCGCAUUUCCGCCCUUGAUUGGGUGUGUUCUGUAAUUCAGAUCAUUUACUGUGAGUAAAUCAGAGUGUUCAAAGCAGGCAGCAAUGCUUGUAUGGUUCAGCAUGGAAUAAUAAGAUAAGACUUCGGUUUUAUUUUGUUGGCUAUGAAACCAAAGUAAUGAUUGAAAGGGAUAGUUGGGGGUGCUAGUAUUCAGUGGUCAGCGGUGAAAUGCGAGGACCCAUUGAAGACUAACUUAUGCGAAAGCAUU
RNAcentral lists this ribosomal RNA (320 nucleotides) under uncultured Thalassomyxa. RNAcentral describes it as "SSU rRNA". The stretch from base 99 to 320 matches the Rfam family "Eukaryotic small subunit ribosomal RNA", at positions 732 to 955 of the family's 1831-position model. The record is from RNAcentral. Lineage: Eukaryota; Endomyxa; Vampyrellida.